Molecule: small nucleolar RNA, 91 nt
Organism: Papaver somniferum (opium poppy)
Lineage: Eukaryota; Viridiplantae; Streptophyta; Magnoliopsida; Ranunculales; Papaveraceae
Source: RefSeq, a predicted model, not a curated record
AGGGUGCAAAUGAGAAAAUUUUAUUGGUAAAUGGGUAAUUUUUGUCUAAAUACUUCAUUGAUGUUAACACCUUAGAGAUCUGAUGCCCUGA